RNAcentral lists this RNase P RNA (382 nucleotides) under Nocardioides cavernaquae. RNAcentral's name for it is "Bacterial RNase P class A". It matches the Rfam family "Bacterial RNase P class A". From Rfam's summary of the family: Ribonuclease P (RNase P) is a ubiquitous endoribonuclease, found in archaea, bacteria and eukarya as well as chloroplasts and mitochondria. Its best characterised activity is the generation of mature 5'-ends of tRNAs by cleaving the 5'-leader elements of precursor-tRNAs. The record is from Rfam by way of RNAcentral. Lineage: Bacteria; Bacillati; Actinomycetota; Actinomycetes; Propionibacteriales; Nocardioidaceae.
GGGGCUGGCCGGGCGACCGCGUUCGUGUCCUUCGGGAUGCGGCCGAGGAAGGUCCGGGCUCCACAGAGCAGGGUGGUCGCCAACAGCGACCCGGGGCAACCCGCGGGACAGUGCCACAGAGAACAGACCGCCUUCCGGGCAACCGGGAGGUAAGGGUGAAACGGUGGUGCAAGAGACCACCAGUACGCCGGGUGACCGGCGUAGCUAGGUAAACCCCACCCGGAGCAAGAUCGAACAGCACGUGCCUGAGGGCUGCUCGCCCGAGCGUGCGGGUAGAUCGCUUGAGGCGGCCGGCAACGGUCGUCCUAGAUGGAUGGUCGCCAGCCGGUCGGUCGUGAGGCCGACCGGGGAACAAAACCCGGCCUAUGAGCCAGCCCCUCCG